RNAcentral lists this long non-coding RNA (803 nucleotides) under Androctonus crassicauda. The record is from RNAcentral. Lineage: Eukaryota; Metazoa; Arthropoda; Arachnida; Scorpiones; Buthidae.
UGUUUUAAAAGAUACUUGAAUAUUAUAAGUUAAUUUUUUUCUUCUAUGGAAGUUAUAGAUCAAACUUUUUCUCCAAUCUGAUUAGUAGAUAGAAAAAAUGUUGAAUAGCUUGAAUGUACCUUUGCAGAGUGGAGGAGUAUGGGAGUGUGGGAGUACACUGUGAUAGCCAAUAAAUUGGGAUUAGGUUGCAGAUUGAUGAAACAUUCAGAUUUACAUCUGCAAUUGAGUUGGUUUCUUGUUUCUAAGAAAGAGUGUCAGGCACUCUUUCUAGAAGUGAGUCAAUGUUUUGACAGUAUCACACUGGAGAGUUUGAAAAUAGUAACAACCUGUGAGAAUAAAGAAAGCUGUUUGAGAGGCAUUGUAUAAGGGUGCAAGUGGUGAAAGAGUAUUUCUAUUGCCCAAGUAAGACAGAUCUUGGACUGCCAAUGGGGAAGUCGGAAAAUGUGUCUAAGGUCAGUGAACAAGGUUGUAGAAAACCAAGUGAACUGAGAAAGAUUGAGUAACCUGAUGACAAACAAACAUCUGUAUGUCAUGCAAGUUCAUGAAUAAUGAAUGGAUCCACUUAGUGCCUAUUCAGCUAUCUCAUUAAUGGGAAUCCCAAAUUGAUUAGAGAUUUAUUUUAAAUAUUUUUUGUGUGUCACCAUGGAAAGCGUUAUGUUAGAGAUUGAUCAGCUAUUAUUUGUAUAAUAUUUUAAUAAUGAAAUUAAAUACAUUCUUCUGUUAAUUGAACUAAUUAAAUUUUAUUGAUUUAUCAAAAAUAUUUAUAGUAAAUUACUGCUUUAUGCUCUUUCUAAUUAAAAAAU